Carassius carassius (crucian carp) is the source of this 433-nucleotide long non-coding RNA. RefSeq lists it as uncharacterized. NCBI's taxonomy places the organism in Eukaryota, Metazoa, Chordata, Actinopteri, Cypriniformes, Cyprinidae. The record is from RefSeq and is a predicted model, not a curated record. The transcript is spliced from 3 exons.
CUCUUUUCAAAAAGCCUGUCUUUCAUUCUUCGUUCAGUUCUAUUUCCCUUGCCUUGUGCAUUUGAAGAACAUUUACACAUGUAACAUGUCUUCAGUGAAGAUUAUGCUUGUGGUUUCUCUGUUCAUCCCUGCUGUGAGGUCCGGUAAAGAUUUGUUUAAAUUGGAAUGCCUGCCUGCAGUUGGAAUUCUUGCUCAGACCACAAUAAUCAGAUGCUAUUUCAAAGACAUGCUAGAUAUUGAAAUAGUUGCAGUUUAUUUGACAAAAGUUGGACAGGACGAGCCAUUAUUUGCUCAAGAAGAAUCAAAAAGAUCAGGAGAUCAACGCUUUAGUCUCGAAAACUCAGCAAUGGGUCCAUCUCUGCAAAUCUCUGACACAAUGUUUACUGAUGAGGGUGAAUAUCUGUACCAUGUUGUAACCGACAGUGGAUAUAAA